RNAcentral lists this long non-coding RNA (930 nucleotides) under Helianthus annuus (common sunflower). RNAcentral describes it as "hypothetical non coding rna". Lineage: Eukaryota; Viridiplantae; Streptophyta; Magnoliopsida; Asterales; Asteraceae. The record is from RNAcentral.
AUGGACAUGGUGAAUGACGCGCAACUUAGCACCAUGAAGACCCUUUAAUAGUGAGUUUGCUUCUUCUAGAAUAGCUAUAUGAUUUUGAUUCUAUGUUAAUUUCAUUUCAUUAUGAGUAGCGUCUUAAACCGAAAUAUAUAUGUACAUUUGAGGCUUAAAACAUGAGUGUUUGAUACAGUCUCUUAUAUUGUUAUGUUAGUGUCUUUCUAAUUGUGAGUUUUAAUUUUAAGUAUGUUGAUGGUGCUAUACAAUGAAUAGAGAUAAAUUGGUUUAAAAGUUCUUUUUAGAGCAUAUGGGAUUUAUAUAUUUGUUUUUCUUAUGCUUACAUGUUGUAUGAAAGAAAGAAAGAAAGAAAUGUUAAACACUGAGAUACAUGUACCAAUUGUGAAAUCAUGCAGUAUUCAGUAAAUAUUUUGUUGAUUAUACAGUAUUCAGGAUUCAUUUUGACCAUCAUGAUACACUUGCACAAAGAGCCCUCGAACUGAAUUUGCUAUCUGAAGACAAAUUUCCAUAUAAUAUUUUAUUGAUUAUACAAUAUUCAUCCAAGGUGUAUCUAUUAUUAGGUCUGUUAUAGAAAAUAGUAGAGGUUCCAAUUUGACCCAUUUGCUUAUGAACAAAUUAAAGUUGACCAAUAUCCAUUUUUAUUGCGUAUGAAAUGAUCUACUUUAAUGGGCUAAGCUAUUGGAUCAUGGAUCAGCCUAAGAAUUGCCCAAAUAAAUGUACAUAUUAGGUUGCUUAUUGUAUUGGUGGGUCAAACUUUUUGGUUAGUUGGAUUAUAUAGCUGGAACGGAUUAGAUCUAGAUCAAUAUUUGAUACAGCCCAAGAAUUGCCCAAAUAAAUGUACAAAUUCAAGUUUAACUCGCAUUUUCGUAUUGACUCUUUACCCAACUCGCUUAAUGGCGGUUCAAGUAUUUUUCUUAAAAAUUAUUG